RNAcentral lists this ribosomal RNA (1314 nucleotides) under Escherichia coli. Its description in RNAcentral is "partial 23S ribosomal RNA". It matches the Rfam family "Bacterial large subunit ribosomal RNA", at positions 1 to 1345 of the family's 2925-position model. The record is from RNAcentral. Lineage: Bacteria; Pseudomonadati; Pseudomonadota; Gammaproteobacteria; Enterobacterales; Enterobacteriaceae.
GGGUUGUGAGGUUAAGCGACUAAGCGUACACGGUGGAUGCCCUGGCAGUCAGAGGCGAUGAAGGACGUGCUAAUCUGCGAUAAGCGUCGGUAAGGUGAUAUGAACCGUUAUAACCGGCGAUUUCCGAAUGGGGAAACCCAGUGUGAUUCGUCACACUAUCAUUAACUGAAUCCAUAGGUUAAUGAGGCGAACCGGGGGAACUGAAACAUCUAAGUACCCCGAGGAAAAGAAAUCAACCGAGAUUCCCCCAGUAGCGGCGAGCGAACGGGGAGCAGCCCAGAGCCUGAAUCAGUGUGUGUGUUAGUGGAAGCGUCUGGAAAGGCGCGCGAUACAGGGUGACAGCCCCGUACACAAAAAUGCACAUGCUGUGAGCUCGAUGAGUAGGGCGGGACACGUGGUAUCCUGUCUGAAUAUGGGGGGACCAUCCUCCAAGGCUAAAUACUCCUGACUGACCGAUAGUGAACCAGUACCGUGAGGGAAAGGCGAAAAGAACCCCGGCGAGGGGAGUGAAAAAGAACCUGAAACCGUGUACGUACAAGCAGUGGGAGCACGCUUAGGCGUGUGACUGCGUACCUUUUGUAUAAUGGGUCAGCGACUUAUAUUCUGUAGCAAGGUUAACCGAAUAGGGGAGCCGAAGGGAAACCGAGUCUUAACUGGGCGUUAAGUUGCAGGGUAUAGACCCGAAACCCGGUGAUCUAGCCAUGGGCAGGUUGAAGGUUGGGUAACACUAACUGGAGGACCGAACCGACUAAUGUUGAAAAAUUAGCGGAUGACUUGUGGCUGGGGGUGAAAGGCCAAUCAAACCGGGAGAUAGCUGGUUCUCCCCGAAAGCUAUUUAGGUAGCGCCUCGUGAAUUCAUCUCCGGGGGUAGAGCACUGUUUCGGCAAGGGGGUCAUCCCGACUUACCAACCCGAUGCAAACUGCGAAUACCGGAGAAUGUUAUCACGGGAGACACACGGCGGGUGCUAACGUCCGUCGUGAAGAGGGAAACAACCCAGACCGCCAGCUAAGGUCCCAAAGUCAUGGUUAAGUGGGAAACGAUGUGGGAAGGCCCAGACAGCCAGGAUGUUGGCUUAGAAGCAGCCAUCAUUUAAAGAAAGCGUAAUAGCUCACUGGUCGAGUCGGCCUGCGCGGAAGAUGUAACGGGGCUAAACCAUGCACCGAAGCUGCGGCAGCGACGCUUAUGCGUUGUUGGGUAGGGGAGCGUUCUGUAAGCCUGCGAAGGUGUGCUGUGAGGCAUGCUGGAGGUAUCAGAAGUGCGAAUGCUGACAUAAGUAACGAUAAAGCGGGUGAAAAGCCCGCUCGCCGGAAGAC